This 492-nucleotide ribosomal RNA is filed under the name uncultured bacterium. RNAcentral's name for it is "partial 16S ribosomal RNA". It matches the Rfam family "Bacterial small subunit ribosomal RNA", at positions 29 to 507 of the family's 1533-position model. The record is from RNAcentral.
AGUGAACGCUGGCGGUAGGCCUAACACAUGCAAGUCGAACGGCAGCACAGUAAGAGCUUGCUCUUACGGGUGGCGAGUGGCGGACGGGUGAGGAAUACAUCGGAAUCUACUUUUUCGUGGGGGAUAACGUAGGGAAACUUACGCUAAUACCGCAUACGACCUACGGGUGAAAGCAGGGGAUCUUCGGACCUUGCGCGAUUGAAUGAGCCGAUGUCGGAUUAGCUAGUUGGCGGGGUAAAGGCCCACCAAGGCGACGAUCCGUAGCUGGUCUGAGAGGAUGAGCAGGCACAAUGGAAGUGAGACACGGUUCAGACGCCUACGGGAGGCAGCAGUGGGGAAUAGUGGACAAAGGGCGAAAGCCUGAUCCAGCCAUGCCGCGUGUGUGAAGAAGGUCUUCGGAUUGUAAAGCACUUUAGGUGGGGAGGAAGGGCAGUAAGUUAAUACCUUGCUGUUCUGACGUUACCAACAGAAUAAGCACCGGCUAACUUCGUG